This 426-nucleotide ribosomal RNA is filed under the name uncultured bacterium. RNAcentral's name for it is "bacterial SSU rRNA". It matches the Rfam family "Bacterial small subunit ribosomal RNA", at positions 917 to 1344 of the family's 1533-position model. The record is from RNAcentral.
GGGCCCGCACAAGCGGUGGAGUAUGUGGUUUAAUUCGAUGCAACGCGAAGAACCUUACCAGGGUUUGACAUCCUGCGAAUCUCUUGGAAACGAGAGAGUGCCUUCGGGAGCGCAGUGACAGGUGGUGCAUGGCUGUCGUCAGCUCGUGUCGUGAGAUGUUGGGUUAAGUCCCGCAACGAGCGCAACCCACGUCUUUAGUUGCCAGCAUUUAGUUGGGCACUCUAGAGAGACCGCCGGUGAUAAACCGGAGGAAGGUGUGGAUGACGUCAAGUCAUCAUGCCCCUUACAUCCUGGGCUACACACGUACUACAAUGCUACGGACAAAGAGCAGCAAGUUCGCGAGGACAAGCAAAUCUCAUAAACCGUGGCUCAGUUCAGAUCGUAGGCUGCAACUCGCCUACGUGAAGGAGGAAUCGCUAAUACUAG